Molecule: ribosomal RNA, 274 nt
Filed under: uncultured bacterium
Lineage: Bacteria
Description: partial 16S ribosomal RNA
Rfam family: Bacterial small subunit ribosomal RNA
Source: RNAcentral
AUACGGAGGGUGCAAGCGUUGUUCGGAUUUACUGGGCGUAAAGAGAGUGUAGGUUGUUUAUUAAGUCGGAUGUGAAAUCCCGGGGCUCAACCUCGGAACUGCAUUCGAUACUGGUAGACUAGAGUUCGGGAGGGGUAAGCGGAAUUCCGUGUGUAGCAGUGAAAUGCGUAGAUAUACGGAGGAACACCUGAGGCGAAGGCGGCUUACUGGACCGAUACUGACACUGAGACUCGAAAGCGUGGGUAGCAAACAGGAUUAGAAACCCUAGUAGUCC